This 875-nucleotide ribosomal RNA is filed under the name Ascomycota sp. UdeA0106. RNAcentral describes it as "SSU rRNA". It matches the Rfam family "Eukaryotic small subunit ribosomal RNA", at positions 76 to 960 of the family's 1831-position model. The record is from RNAcentral. Lineage: Eukaryota; Fungi; Ascomycota.
AUACGGCGAAAACUGCGAAUGGCUCAUUAUAUAAGUUAUCGUUUAUUUGAUAGCACCUUACUACUUGGAUAACCGUGGUAAUUCUAGAGCUAAUACAUGCUAAAAAUCCCGACUUCGGAAGGGAUGUAUUUAUUAGAUUAAAAACCAAUGCCCUCUGGGCUCUCUGGUGAUUCAUGAUAACUUCUCGAAUCGCAUGGCCUUGCGCCGGCGAUGGUUCAUUCAAAUUUCUUCCCUAUCAACUUUCGAUGUUUGGGUAGUGGCCAAACAUGGUUGCAACGGGUAACGGAGGGUUAGGGCUCGACCCCGGAGAAGGAGCCUGAGAAACGGCUACUACAUCCAAGGAAGGCAGCAGGCGCGCAAAUUACCCAAUCCCGACACGGGGAGGUAGUGACAAUAAAUACUGAUACAGGGCUCUUUUGGGUCUUGUAAUUGGAAUGAGUACAAUUUAAAUCCCUUAACGAGGAACAAUUGGAGGGCAAGUCUGGUGCCAGCAGCCGCGGUAAUUCCAGCUCCAAUAGCGUAUAUUAAAGUUGUUGUGGUUAAAAAGCUCGUAGUUGAACCUUGGGCCUGGCUGGCCGGUCCGCCUCACCGCGUGCACUGGUCCGGCCGGGCCUUUCCCUCUGUGGAACCCCAUGCCCUUCACUGGGUGUGGCGGGGAAACAGGACUUUUACUUUGAAAAAAUUAGAGUGCUCCAGGCAGGCCUAUGCUCGAAUACAUUAGCAUGGAAUAAUGAAAUAGGACGUGCGGUUCUAUUUUGUUGGUUUCUAGGACCGCCGUAAUGAUUAAUAGGGACAGUCGGGGGCAUCAGUAUUCAAUUGUCAGAAGUGAAAUUCUUGGAUUUAUUGAAGACUAACUACUGCGAAAGCAUUUGCCA